GAUGAACGCUAGCGGCAGGCCUAACACAUGCAAGUCGAGGGAGAGGUUACCUUCGGGUCACCAAAACCGGCGCACGGGUGCGUAACGCGUAUACAAUCUGCCUUUCACAUAGGGAUAGCCCGAAGAAAUUUGGAUUAAUACCUAAUGGUAUAUAAGAGCGGCAUCGUUUUUAUAUUAAAGCUACGGUGGUGAAAGAUGAGUAUGCGUUCUAUUAGCUAGUUGGAGAGGUAACGGCUCCCCAAGGCGACGAUAGAUAGGGGUUCUGAGAGGGAUGUCCCCCACACUGGUACUGAGAUACGGACCAGACUCCUACGGGAGGCAGCAGUGAGGAAUAUUGGACAAUGGUCGGAAGACUGAUCCAGCCAUGCCGCGUGCAGGAUGAAGGUCCUAUGGAUGGUAAACUGCUUUUGUAAGGGAAGAAUAAGGAGUACGUGUACUUUGAUGACGGUACCUUACGAAUAAGCAUCGGCUAACUCCGUG
This 480-nucleotide ribosomal RNA is filed under the name uncultured bacterium. RNAcentral's name for it is "partial 16S ribosomal RNA". It matches the Rfam family "Bacterial small subunit ribosomal RNA", at positions 28 to 507 of the family's 1533-position model. The record is from RNAcentral.